AUUAAGCUGUACGCUCUGUGCGUUGCAGAUAAUUGCUCGAGGUAGUUUGCGGGGGCAAGCGCUGAUCACUGGCUUAUAAAAAGAAAGGGCAGCGAGCCCUCUCUUCAACGUGUGGGGUGUGUUUAGAAGACCUGUGAGACUGCUGAAAACACCCGAUAUGCCGAGCAGCGCUCGAGUGGAGUCGGCGACACGCGUGCAGGCUGCGUGUCUCAAAGCGCGGGACCUGUUGAGGUUCACAAAGUUAUGGUGCUGCCGUGCUUGAGUUUUGCACUCAAGUCAGACGAUGUCUACGGAUAGGCGUUUGCAUCCUCAGCGGAUGACGAUCACGCCUAACGACUAUUCAGAAGCGUUUCCGGGGCAAAAAAACGCUUCUGCAUAGAUUACUUUGUUUCUGCCGCAAAAGUCUACUGGAGGACUGUUUCAAGUUCAUAUUACCGCAUCGAUAGAGGCAGAACUGCGGUUUAGAGCUAACCGUAUAUCACGGAACAGAGACACUUGGUGUACGGCUCACUGGAGCGCUCGCACGGUAUCCUCGGAUGUGUAUACACGGCCUGAUCCUGCUCUUACGCAAGUAGACCCGUUGUCGGCGAGCGUGGAUAUGUUCCCGUGGCAAUUGAGGAUCGGUCAAUAUUCGGAAGAUAAUUUUUCUGGCAGUGAAACCGUCAGCAAUGUAAUUUUGAAGACUCGGACCCAGGAGCUCACAGAAUGCAUCUCACUUGGGGCAGCUGCAGGAUGCUCGCUGACUUGCACCAUCUGCGAAUACCCAGGAUAAUUGACGAGAAUCUGGAAAUGAGCGCAUGGACAACACGAAACGGAGUACAAACGAGUAUGAAAAUGCAAAAAUGUAUAUAGGAUCGAUAGCGAUGCAUUCGUUCGAUGCAUGCUUCGCAAAACUGCAUGCAGUAUAUGGAUCCGAUGUGAUACCAGCGUGUUGUUGAAUUGGAAGCAUGCUCACGCAACGGUGGAGAGCUAUCGAUGAAUUGCAUCCUCUGCGAUCCUGCAUGGAAUGGUUAGGUGCGACUACAAAGCAGCUUAGGGCGCUACGUUGGCCAGUUGGCACCUGCUUGCCGAGCGGCCUAUUUUUCAAGUCUGCGUUUAGCUCUUCCUGUACCUGGUGGCCGCCAGCGUGCACAAGCUGGCUCUAGAAAUCGAGCAGCCACCAACAGGUUUCUGGAAUGGGCUCAUUUGGAAAAUCUCGUAAGUAAAGAAUACGUCUAGCAUCGAGUUUCAAUCACGACAUCAGCGAGCAACGCAGACUCGGGACGGUUUUCUCUUUCGGGCACACGGUCCUUCAUGGACUUUUAGACUCGUUUCAGUAAAGAAAUAGAAAAG
RNA transcript from Cyanidioschyzon merolae strain 10D, 1332 nucleotides. RefSeq lists it as hypothetical. The record is from RefSeq and is a predicted model, not a curated record. The transcript has a single exon. NCBI's taxonomy places the organism in Eukaryota, Rhodophyta, Bangiophyceae, Cyanidiales, Cyanidiaceae.